UUAGUGGCGCACGGGUGAGUAAUGCAUAGAUAAUGUGCCCCUUAGUUCGGGAUAGCCACUGGAAACGGUGAUUAAUACCGGAUACUCCUUCUUGUUAUAAGACAAGUCGGGAAAGUUUUUCGCUAAGGGAUCAGUCUAUGUUCCAUCAGCUUGUUGGUGAGGUAAUGGCUCACCAAGGCUAUGACGGAUAUCUGGUUUGAGAGGAUGAUCAGACACACUGGAACUGAGACACGGUCCAGACUCCUACGGGAGGCAGCAGUGAGGAAUAUUGCACAAUGGAGGAAACUCUGAUGCAGCAACGCCGCGUGGAGGAUGACGCAUUUCGGUGUGUAAACUCCUUUUAUUAGGGAAGAUAAUGACGGUACCUAAUGAAUAAGCACCGGCUAACUCCGUGCCAGCAGCCGCGGUAAUACGGAGGGUGCAAGCGUUACUCGGAAUCACUGGGCGUAAAGGGCGCGUAGGCUGGCUUUUAAGUCAGAUGUGAAAUCCAAUGGCUCAACCAUUGAACUGCAUUUGAAACUGAAAGCCUAGAGUUCAGAAGGGGCAGAUGGAAUUAGUGGUGUAGGGGUAAAAUCCGUAGAUAUCACUAGGAAUAUCAAAAGCGAAGGCGAUCUGCUGGGAUGAUACUG
This 629-nucleotide ribosomal RNA is filed under the name uncultured bacterium. Its description in RNAcentral is "bacterial SSU rRNA". It matches the Rfam family "Bacterial small subunit ribosomal RNA", at positions 92 to 742 of the family's 1533-position model. The record is from RNAcentral.